This 253-nucleotide ribosomal RNA is filed under the name uncultured bacterium. Its description in RNAcentral is "partial 16S ribosomal RNA". It matches the Rfam family "Bacterial small subunit ribosomal RNA", at positions 524 to 776 of the family's 1533-position model. The record is from RNAcentral.
UACAGAGGGGGCAAGCGUUGUUCGGAAUUACUGGGCGUAAAGGGCGCGUAGGCGGCCCGUCAAGUCCCGUGUGAAAGCCCCCGGCUCAACCGGGGAACGGCGCGGGAAACUAGCAGGCUUGAGUUCGGGAGAGGGAAGCGGAAUUCCGGGUGUAGCGGUGAAAUGCGUAGAUAUCCGGAGGAACACCGGUGGCGAAGGCGGCUUCCUGGACCGACACUGACGCUGAGGCGCGAAAGCUAGGGGAGCAAACGGG